UACAGAGACUGCAAGCGUUAUUCGGAUUCACUGGGCGUAAAGGGUGCGCAGGUGGCCAAGUGUGUCAGGUGUGAAAUCCCGGGGCUUAACUCCGGAACUGCGCCUGAAACUGCUUGGCUAGAGCAUUGGAGAGGGUAGUGGAAUUCACGGUGUAGCAGUGAAAUGCGUAGAUAUCGUGAGGAACACCAGAGGCGAAGGCGACUACCUGGACAAUUGCUGACACUCAGGCACGAAAGCGUGGGGAGCCAAAGGG
RNAcentral lists this ribosomal RNA (253 nucleotides) under uncultured bacterium. RNAcentral describes it as "partial 16S ribosomal RNA". It matches the Rfam family "Bacterial small subunit ribosomal RNA", at positions 524 to 776 of the family's 1533-position model. The record is from RNAcentral.